UGCCCUGUGCAGUGGGGAGGCUACAUUGGCUCAUAGCAAGGACAGGCGGCAGGAGGACUUGGGUUCUAGUCUCAACUCUAACAUUAAACUCCUGGGGCUGUCAUCAGAGUCAAAGUACAUCUGGCCAGGAUGCAGUCUUUACUCUGAGGCUCUCUUAGAUGUCAGCAGUCUGGAGAUGGGAUACCAAGACCUACAGCCCCCCUCCAGUGGGGUGCAUGAGAUGGGCUGGUUGUAUGACCUCGAUCCAUGAUGGCCUUGAGGACCCUUCCCAGGGAACAGGUGGAUGAUGAUUUGAAGCCAACUGGAAAGCCAUGCCACGACAAGCUGCCUCUGCACUCUCCAGGAUCUUGAGAAGUGUGCUGGCCAUUGCCUGGAGCAGCCGCGUUCAGGGAGGUGUGUGGGGCUGCUGUCACAUCGCAUCAAUGUCCUGGCCAUAGUGCGGUGACUCGAUUAAGUCCUUAGCCGCAGAACCAGUUUAAGGAGUCAGUGAUUCACUCCAUUGGCUGGGCAGGACCAAUUGCAGCUCAGGUCACUGAUGAGAUGCUGGUCUCUGCUAGGAAUGCUGUGGAUGAGCUAGAGAGGGGAUUAAAAAGAAGUUAUUUCUUUUAAAAAGGGUCUUUUAACAUAGGAAAUUAAUAUCUAUCAGGAUGCAACAUGUAGGAGCAAGGGGACAAAGGUUGCCAGCAACUCUUUGAAUGUCAGCCACCCUUCAGUAUCCAACUACUUAGUGUAAACUUGGCUUCUCAGUGCAUUUCACCCUGGUGAAAGGCUGCAGGUUGACAUGCCUAAAUAUUCUAGUCCUUCCCUUACCCACAGAGCAGCCAGCAUGGAUGGCUGUGUAGCCAAGAUGCUGUACAAGACACUGGGCAGUCCAGUCCUACUACUGAAAAGUGGUGGGAGAGGACAGAGAAGAUGUGGCCAACUCCACUUGGCAAAGGGGCGCUUAGCAAAGACACUCCAAGACACUCCAAGAGGCAGAGUGGUCAGCGAUAAUGAAGAUGGCAGCGACACAUCCAGACCUCAAAACAGCGACUGUGAGAACAGCAGUGUCGGCAGCAGCAGAAGCAACAGUGAGAGUGACAGUGACAACAACAAAGAUGGAAUAAGUAAACAAUGUAAACCCCAACAGUGGGGUGAGAACUAAGAGACUAUGUUACUGAAAGGACUGUGGACAGGUGUGCGGGGGCAUGUGAGCGCAGAUGUGACCAUUGUAAUGGGUGCAUGGGUUUUUAAUUCAUUUUAAGGUGUAGAAAUGCUUAUGUGGGAUGCUGAAUAAAUAUAUUUUUUUUUCCCCCCUAACCCCCUCCUCCCCCCCCAAAACAACCCAACUGGGACUCAUUUCCUAUUUCUGACACAGACUCCCUGGGUCAUGGUGUUGUCAAAGGUGCUCGGCUGCUCUGGAUUUCAGUUGGAACUGGAGGUGCUCAGAACCUCCAAAAAAUAAGCCUCAGGACCUCAUCUGUAAAAUAGGCUCCUUAAAGGGUGUGGUGCUAAGGUCAGAGACUGCACCAAAGUGCUGAGGAAGCAGAAGCAGGAAAAUGUAUCUGGGGGAUUAUGAUUUUGUCCAUGUGCUAGCUAAAGCAAAAUGAUUGGUUUAAGCCUGGCUUUUGGUCUGUUCCAAUUAUCAUAUGACUACACAGGUGGAGUUCUGGGAAUGCCCUUGCUUAUGCUAUUGGGGAGUCUAACCCGGAGGUCCUGCACUGGUUUUGGAAGUUUAAAGCAGCUGGGUCAUAAGAUCCAGUUUCUGUGAAGGGAUGACUGGAAAGCCAGUGAAAGAACUACUACUUCAGCAUAUUCCAAACAUGGGAAGUUUAAAGUGGGCCCAGCGAGAGGGACACUAAUAUUGAACCCUGGUGAGUGUGAGUCCUCAGACUACUUCUAUAUCCAUAUGCACUGUGCCUUCCACAGGACAGUGAUCCAUGGCAUAAGACUAUAACUGCCCACAGGAUGGUGUUCUCUAUUAUGUCUCUUCAGGAAGACUUCAGAAAGAGCAAGCCAUGCCCCUCUAUCCUGCAUAUCAUUUCCUGAAUUGGGCUGUUUGGGGCUUUUUGUUGGAUUUGGGUUUGUUCUGAUCAGAAUGAGGAGUUCUUGAGCAUAACACACUCCUCCUUCCUUCUCUGCAUCCCUAGCAAGUCCUGUCUUAGUCUGAUUGGAACAACCCAGACACUGUCCAGGGACCAGCUCUUUCAGGAGCUUGUCUACAGUCCUUUAUUCUCAGUCAUCCCCAGUCAGAUCAAACUCAGCUCACAGCUCCUCAAAAUUGUUUCCUACCUACUUCCCAUUUCUCUUCACAUUAAAGAUGACAUGCCAAACAUUUAGAGUGAAAUGUGAGGCUUCAUGUCCCUUUCAGAAUUGUUGUUAGCAACAGCUUUUAGAACUCUGGACAUUUUUGUCUUCAGUGGGCUUGUCUACAUGUGCAUUUACACCUGCUUAAAUUUACUGCACAGUAAAUGGGAAUAGGCUGGCGUCUACACAUGUAGGCAUUCAAGUGCAUUAACACUGCGUGAAUUGACUUGGGACUAAAUCAGUCCACACGCACAGUGUUCCUGCACAUUAAAGCAUCUACAUGUGCAUUACUACACAGUAACUAACUGGGCAUAAAUUUGAGACCUGCAUGAUGCAGGUCUCAAAUUUAUGUUCAAGUCGGCAUAAGUUCCCAUAUUUACUGUGCAGUACAGGUGUGCACAUGUAGACAUGCACCCAUACUGUACUACUACACAGUAAAUGUGCAUAUAUAGAUGUGCCCAGUGUUGUCCAAUCCUUUUCUGAAUCCAUCUUGAAUAGUUGGCUGUCCCAUCAGCAACAGAGAACUGAGUGUUUCUGGAAAGUCACUAAACACUGAAGGUAACUUUUGUCUACUUCUUGAGGGCUGACUUAGGAGAAGACAUUCCAGCUGGGCUCAGACCAGCAGCUCACAUUCUUACCUUCCCAUUGAUUUACCACCAGAGACCAUUCCCUGUGUCCUCAGGAAUUGUCUUCAGGUGCCCUUGUCAUUUCCAGGGAGACGUCUCUCCUUUGGAGAAGUCAUCAGUGCAGUCCAGCCUGACUCAUUGUGAGAAGGGACAAUAAUCCAUACAUUAACUUCACCCUAUGGGUAAUGGAUUUUUACUGUAAAACCUUAAGUUGCAAGCUGUGGAAAAAAGAAAGCUACAACAUUAGUGUUGAUGCCCAUCUAUAAUAGACCCUGAGCAUGGCCAAGGCCCUAACUAGAUGGUGAAGUGAAGCUGCCAGAAGGAAGUCUUGGUCUGACUUGGUCUUCAUUUGUUUGCCAAAUGAAGGUAUCAGAAAUUCAUGCUGGUGAAAAAGGCCAGAUUGGCAGCUGUGGUACAUGCAGUUCUUUGUUUAUCUGCAGAACAUAGACAGUAACUCCUGGAUUGCUCAGAAUAAGUCUCCACUCAUGCCUGCUCUGCUAAAGGGCCUCAGCUAGGAAAUAGCCAAUGUGUGUUGUGUUUCAGCCCUAAUGGCCUGCUGGGUUCUAAUCUCCAGGCUGAGGUCACUAUCAUAGAUAUCAGUUGUGUUAAUGCUUUGAUAUUGGGUUUUGUCUAUUAAGAGCUGAACUGAACAGCCACCAGCUCGUUUUAAGUCACCGCCAUCAAUCCAAACUAGAAGACAGGCUCCAUUUCCCAUGUGCUGGCCCAUGAGUAUUCAAAUGCCCUGUUGUACUACAUGCUUUUGAAAAGUACACAAGGAUAUUCAACUGUAAGUGAAAUGGAGAGGUUGCAUGCAUCUCAAGGAGCCCAAGGCAGAAAGUCUCCACUGCAAACACCCUCCAUUUCCUUUGGCCACUCAGCUCCAAGUCAUACCUUUCUCCUCAUGCCAAAGCAUUUCCAGUUGCAGGAGUCUCCUUACAGCAGGGGCGGGCAAAGUCCAGCCUAUGGGCUGGAUUGGGCCCAUGGCAGAUUCCAUUUUCCAGGAGCCCCAGCCCAUAUUGCUGCAGCUGGUUUUCAUGGAGACCCCAGCAGUGGCGGCGCCGUGACAGCAUGGGGCCAGAGUUUCCAUGGCUGGAUCUGCCAUUUUGCCCAUCCCUGCCUUAGAGCCACCCAAUGAACUCUCUGUGAGGUAUUGCCACCAAUACUAGCCACAGUGUUCCUGUGAUGAAGGGUUAUCCCCUCCAUCCUGACCUUUGCUUGGAGAGAAGGGCCUGACCUGACCUGAACCUCAGCUGCUGCUCAAUGGGACAAGACCUGUAUUUCUGUCCUGGAGUGGUGGAUUCUUUAAGCGCCUCUUGGGCCAGUGCAAACCUGCAUUGGAUUUCUAUGGCCUGCCCAGAAUGGUCAGUGGGGAACCCCCAGGAUAAGGCCACAAAUUCUGGGUUUGUUCUUUCCUGUCCCUGCUAGCUCAUCUGUCAGUGUCUGAGGAGCAGAGGCUGAGCAGCAGACAAAGAAAGAGGCAGUCAGACUGCCUGACAAAGCAAACCAGCAUGGUGGGUAGCAGUAAUUAUCACGCAGCACACAGCUGAAGGAGACCAUAUGGUAAGGCAAAGGAAACUAACUUGUAUUUUUCCGCUCCCCCAGGCUCAGCCUUUAUGGAGCUUGUCACAGUUGAUUUUCACUGCUUGACUGGCAUGGUCGCACUCGCCUCAGUUUCACUUUGUUCUUGGAAUCAUAGAGUUCUGCAGAGAAGGUGGUGCAGAACCAGAGGGCUGUGUUCUGUACCUGUUACACCUGUAAGGAGGUGGCCCCCCACACACUGCUCCAUUAAAUCUCUGUCCUUUAUCCUGCCCCAUCAUAACCACUCUGCCAUUAUAUUCCUCUGUACACCAUACUUUACCAAAUCCACCAUGCAGUAGGGGCCAAGUUUUUUGGUAGGCAUGUCAUUCACAACUUAGAACUGACCAAAAGAGCUAACCCUUUCCUCUCCAGGAGAAAAGAUUCCCUGAUAGAACUGGAGACUUUAACCUAAAUCCUCUUACUGGACAAGGAAGUUGGGGAAGUUUUGACCAAAUUUGUCCGUAUAAAUUGUUUGAUGGCUUUGUUCUGGUUGUUUUCUUUAAUCCAGUGGUUUUCAAAGUGGGGUAUGCAUACCCCCUGGUAGUAAACAGUGAUUUGCCAAGGGAACGUACCUAAAUUUUAAUAAUAGUAGUGAAGUUUCUGAUUGGUCAACAUGCAGUGAAUAAUAGUGUUGUCACAUGUUGACAGUAGUAUUGACAUUCUUCCUAAGGAAUGAACAUGCAGAGAUAUGUAGAUUUGUAGGAUACAAGGAACAAUACUUUUCCA
Molecule: long non-coding RNA, 5216 nt
Organism: Alligator mississippiensis (American alligator)
Lineage: Eukaryota; Metazoa; Chordata; Crocodylia; Alligatoridae
Exons: 3
Source: RefSeq, a predicted model, not a curated record